Molecule: long non-coding RNA, 640 nt
Filed under: Medicago truncatula (barrel medic)
Lineage: Eukaryota; Viridiplantae; Streptophyta; Magnoliopsida; Fabales; Fabaceae
Description: long non-coding RNA (MTRU_LNC005719)
Source: RNAcentral
AAUCAAGAGCAGUUCAACGGCGCAUGACUUUGGAAGCUUCUUGAACACGUCAACAUCUAUAUUUUGAAACGACAGCGUUUCGGUUGGAGGACGUUUAAAGAUCAGGUACGCACACGUGUAAGGUGGAUAGCUAGAGAGAGAAAAAUAAAUGGCCGUUUCGUAAAUGAACAAGAACCACCGCGUAGCGUCCACACUCAAAGUGGAUGAAUGAAUUUCCAGCCUGUAGAAUAGAGUUUCUUUUGCUGAGCUACACGGCACAGGUUUUUGGCACCACAUGUGUAUUUUCUUAUCUACUACUAAUAUUUGUUUAAUUCUAAAAAUAAAAUAUAUUUGUUUACUAUUUUUCUUUUAUUUAUUUUGCUUUGAAUAUUAUAUUUUGAUACAGGUUAAAUAUCAUGGUCAACGUGCAUUGUUAUAUGCAGAAAUUUGGAUUCGAACUUCGGACACUCAACUUAUUCUCCUUGAAAUUCUAGUCAUUAGGCUAUCUAAUAAAAAAAAAUAUCAUGGUUAACGUAGUUUAGUUUGUUUAACCACUUUCUCAACAAAAAAAAAAAGUCAACCAUUUACCAAACACAAAAAAUUGCGAUUUUGAAAGUCAUUAAGAAUGAUUUUUCGGUGUACAUCUAAACAUAAAAUGCGG